GGACAUAUCACGUUGAAACACUGGUACUCGUACGAUCACUGAAGUUAAGCAACAUCGAGUCUGGUCAGUACCUAGAUGGGUGACCGCAG
This is a non-coding RNA of Acanthosepion pharaonis, 89 nucleotides long. Lineage: Eukaryota; Metazoa; Mollusca; Cephalopoda; Sepiida; Sepiidae. The record is from the annotation of a GenBank genome assembly.